Molecule: ribosomal RNA, 468 nt
Filed under: uncultured bacterium
Lineage: Bacteria
Description: partial 16S ribosomal RNA
Rfam family: Bacterial small subunit ribosomal RNA
Source: RNAcentral
GACGAACGCUGGCGGCGUGCUUAACACAUGCAAGUCGAACGGAAAGGCCCUGCUUUUGUGGGGUGCCCGAGUGGCGAACGGGUGAGUAACACGUGAGUAACCUGCCCUUGACUUUGGGAUAACUUCAGGAAACUGGGGCUAAUACCGGAUAGGAGCUCCUGCUGCAUGGUGGGGGUUGGAAAGUUUCGGCGGUUGGGGAUGGACUCGCGGCUUAUCAGCUUGUUGGUGGGGGAGGGGCUUACCAAGGCUUUGACGGGUAGCCGGCCUGAGAGGGUGACCGGCCACAUUGGGACUGAGAUACGGCCCAGACUCCUACGGGAGGCAGCAGUGGGGAAUAUUGCACAAUGGGCGGAAGCCUGAUGCAGCAACGCCGCGUGCGGGAUGACGGCCUUCGGGUUGUAAACCGCUUUCGCCUGUGACGAAGCGUGAGUGACGGUAAUGGGUAAAGAAGCACCGGCUAACUACGUG